AGGCUGCGUUAAGCCUCGGGGAGUUGUCAAUAAAGCGUUGAUCCGAGGAUGUCCGAAUGGGGAAACCUGGCACCUGUUAUGGGGUGUUACCCUUCAGUGAAUUCAUAGCUGUUGUGGGGGUUUACGCGGGGAAGUGAAACAUCUCAGUACCCGUAGGAGAAGAAAAUAAAAUAUGAUUCUGCUAGUAGUGGCGAACGAACGUGGAUGAGGCUAAACCGUGUGCAUGUGAUACUUGGUAGGGGUUGUGUGUGCGGUGUUGUGGGCCCCAGCGUGCGGUGACUACCAUCAUCGUGCUUGUGUGUUGUUGUUAGGUGAAGUGGUGUGGAAACGCCUACCGUAGAGGGUGAUAGUCCCGUAGUUGAAGGCUUCAGCACAUGGGUUGUUGGGUUGCCCGAGUAGCAGCGGGCUCGUGGAAUCUGCUGUGAAUCUGCCGGGACCACCCGGUAAGCCUAAAUACUCAGUGUGACCGAUAGUGUAUGAGUACCGUGAGGGAAUGGUGAAAAGUACCCCGGGAGGGGAGUGAAAUAGUUCCUGAAACCAUGUGCUUACAAUCCGUCAGAGCACUUUUUUGUGUGUGAUGGCGUGCCUUUUGAAGAAUGAGCCUGCGAGUCAGCGGCAUGUCGCGAGGUUAACCCGUGUGGGGUAGCCGUAGGGAAACCGAAUCCUAAUGGGGUGUUGAGUGGCAUGUCCUGGACCCGAAGCGGGGUGAUCUACCCAUGGCCAGUGUGAAGCAGUAGUAAGAUGCUGUGGAGGCGCGAACCCACGUAGGUUGAAAACUGCGGGGAUGAGUUGUGGGUAGGGGUGAAAGGCCAAUCAAACUCCGUGAUAGCUGGUUCUCCCCGAAAUGCAUUUAGGUGCAGCGUCGCAUUAGCUUGGUGGAGGUAGAGCUACUGGUUGGUUGAGCGGGACUACAAUCUUAGCAAUGUCAGCCAAACUCCGAAUGCCACUAAUUUGUGUUGUGCGGCAGUGAGACUGUGGGGGAUAAGCUUCAUAGUCGAGAGGGAAACAGCCCAGAUCGCCGGUUAAGGCCCCUAAGGGUGUGCUAAGUGGAAAAGGAUGUGGGAUCGCGAAGACAGCCAGGAGGUUGGCUUAGAAGCAGCCAUCCUUGAAAGAGUGCGUAAUAGCUCACUGGUCGAGUGGUCCUGCGCCGACAAUGUAGUGGGGCUCAAGCACACCGCCGAAGCCGCGGCAAACAUUUUGUUUGGGUAGGGGAGCGUCGUGCAUGUGUUGAAGCGUUACCGUAAGGAGGCGUGGAGUGUGUGCGAGUGAGAAUGCAGGCAUGAGUAACGAAUUGGAAGGUGAGAAUCCUUCCCGCCGGAUGACUAAGGGUUCCUGGGUCAAGUUCGUCUUCCCAGGGUGAGUCGGGACCUAAGGCGAGGCCGACAGGCGUAGUCGAUGGACAACCAGUUGAUAUUCUGGUACCCGUAUAUCCGCGCCCAUGAUAAAGCACUGAUACUAACCACCGCGGAUACGACUGGUGUGUUCUUUGAACACGUUGGUUGUUGAUGUCGUGGGGCCUGAUGUGUGGUUCAAGUGAUGGGGUGACACAGUGUAGUAGCCAUGCCGCUUAGUGGAUUGUUGGUGUAAGCGUGUGAGGUGGUGUGUAGGCAAAUCCGCACACCGUGUAAGCCUGAGGCGUGAUGCGUAGCCCAAUUGGGGUGAAGUUGGUGAUCUAGUACUGUCGAGAAAAGCCUCUAGCGAUGUGGAUGUAUGGCCCGUACCCUAAACCGACACAGGUGGUCAGGUUGAAAAUACUAAGGCGUUCGGGUGAACUGUGGUUAAGGAACUCGGCAAAAUGCCCCCGUAACUUCGGGAGAAGGGGGACCACAC
Molecule: ribosomal RNA, 1830 nt
Filed under: Corynebacterium aurimucosum
Lineage: Bacteria; Bacillati; Actinomycetota; Actinomycetes; Mycobacteriales; Corynebacteriaceae
Description: partial 23S ribosomal RNA
Rfam family: Bacterial large subunit ribosomal RNA
Source: RNAcentral